GACGAACGCUGGCGGCGUGCUUAACACAUGCAAGUCGAACGGAAAGGCCCUGCUUUUGUGGGGUGCUCGAGUGGCGAACGGGUGAGUAACACGUGAGUAACCUGCCCUUGACUUUGGGAUAACUUCAGGAAACUGGGGCUAAUACCGGAUAGGAGCUCCUGCUGCAUGGUGGGGGUUGGAAAGUUUCGGCGGUUGGGGAUGGACUCGCGGCUUAUCAGCUUGUUGGUGUGGUAGUGGCUUACCAAGGCUUUGACGGGUAGCCGGCCUGAGAGGGUGACCGGCCACAUUGGGACUGGGAUACGGCCCAGCCUCCUACGGGAGGCAACAGUGGAGAAUAUUGCACAAUGGGCGGAAGCCUGAUGCAGCAACGCCGCGUGCGGGAUGACGGCCUUCGGGUUGUAAACCGCUUUCGCCUGUGACGAAGCGUGAGUGACGGUAAUGGGUAAAGAAGCACCGGCUAACUACGUG
Molecule: ribosomal RNA, 468 nt
Filed under: uncultured bacterium
Lineage: Bacteria
Description: partial 16S ribosomal RNA
Rfam family: Bacterial small subunit ribosomal RNA
Source: RNAcentral